UACGUAGGGUGCGAGCGUUGUCCGGAAUUAUUGGGCGUAAAGAGCUCGUAGGCGGUUUGUUGCGUCGGCCGUGAAAGUCCAGGGCUCAACCCUGGAAUGCCGGUGGAUACUGCCGGGCUGGAGUCCGGAAGAGGCGAGUGGAAUUCCUGGUGUAGCGGUGAAAUGCGCAGAUAUCAGGAGGAACACCGGUGGCGAAGGCGGGUCUCUGGGCCGAUACUGACGCUGAGGAGCGAAAGCGUGGGGAGCGAACAGG
Molecule: ribosomal RNA, 253 nt
Filed under: uncultured bacterium
Lineage: Bacteria
Description: partial 16S ribosomal RNA
Rfam family: Bacterial small subunit ribosomal RNA
Source: RNAcentral